This 486-nucleotide ribosomal RNA is filed under the name uncultured bacterium. Its description in RNAcentral is "bacterial SSU rRNA". It matches the Rfam family "Bacterial small subunit ribosomal RNA", at positions 30 to 507 of the family's 1533-position model. The record is from RNAcentral.
AUUGAACGCUGGCGGCAUGCCUUACACAUGCAAGUCGAACGGCAGCACGGGAGCUUGCUCCUGGUGGCGAGUGGCGAACGGGUGAGUAAUAUAUCGGAACGUACCCUAGAGUGGGGGAUAACGCAGCGAAAGUUGCGCUAAUACCGCAUACGAUCUACGGAUGAAAGUGGGGGAUCGCAAGACCUCGCGCGAUUGGAGCGGCCGAUAUCAGAUUAGGUAGUUGGUGAGGUAAAGGCUCACCAAGCCGACGAUCUGUAGCUGGUCUGAGAGGACGACCAGCCACACUGGGACUGAGACACGGCCCAGACUCCUACGGGAGGCAGCAGUGGGGAAUUUUGGACAAUGGGCGCAAGCCUGAUCCAGCAAUGCCGCGUGCAGGAUGAAGGCCUUCGGGUUGUAAACUGCUUUUGUACGGAACGAAACGGUGAGCUCUAAUACAGUUUGCUAAUGACGGUACCGUAAGAAUAAGCACCGGCUAACUACGUG